This 433-nucleotide ribosomal RNA is filed under the name uncultured bacterium. Its description in RNAcentral is "partial 16S ribosomal RNA". It matches the Rfam family "Bacterial small subunit ribosomal RNA", at positions 29 to 507 of the family's 1533-position model. The record is from RNAcentral.
AACGAACGCUGGCGGCAUGCCUAACACAUGCAAGUCGAACGAGACCUUCGGGUCUAGUGGCGCACGGGUGCGUAACGCGUGGGAAUCUGCCCUUGGGUUCGGAAUAACAGUUGGAAACGACUGCUAAUACCGGAUGAUGACGUAAGUCCAAAGAUUUAUCGCCCAAGGAUGAGCCCGCGUAGGAUUAGCUAGUUGGUGAGGUAAAGGCUCACCAAGGCGACGAUCCUUAGCUGGUCUGAGAGGAUGAUCAGCCACACUGGGACUGAGACACGGCCCAGACUCCUACGGGAGGCAGCAGUGGGGAAUAUUGGACAAUGGGCGAAAGCCUGAUCCAGCAAUGCCGCGUGAGUGAUGAAGGCCUUAGGGUUGUAAAGCUCUUUUACCCGGGAUGAUAAUGACAGUACCGGGAGAAUAAGCUCCGGCUAACUCCGUG